GACGAACGCUGGCGGCGUGCCUAAUACAUGCAAGUCGAGCGAAGCGGCGGACGGGUGAGUAUCACGUAAGGAACCUACCGAUAAGCGGGGGACAACAUCCGGAAACGGGUGCUAAUACCGCAUACUUAUCGCUGGCCUUGCGGUGCAUUAGCUCGUUGGUGGGGUAACGGCCUACCAAGGCAAUGAUGCAUCGACAACCUGAGAGGGUAAGCGGCCACAUGGGGACUGAGACACGACCCAAACUCCUACGGGAGGCAGCAGUGGGGAAUCUUCCGCAAUGGGCGCAAGCCUGACGGAGCAACGCCGCGUGAGUGAAGAAGGUUUUCGGAUCGUAAAGUACUUUCAGCGAGGAGGCGUUACUCGCAGAAGAAGCACCGGCUAACUCCGUGCCAGCAGCCGCGGUAAUAC
This 408-nucleotide ribosomal RNA is filed under the name uncultured bacterium. RNAcentral describes it as "partial 16S ribosomal RNA". It matches the Rfam family "Bacterial small subunit ribosomal RNA", at positions 28 to 526 of the family's 1533-position model. The record is from RNAcentral.